GACGAACGCUGGCGGCGUGCUUAACACAUGCAAGUCGAACGGAAAGGCCCCUUUGGGGGUCCUCGAGUGGCGAACGGGUGAGUAACACGUGAGUAACCUGCCCUUGACUUCGGGAUAACUUCAGGAAACUGGGGCUAAUACCGGAUAGGAAUCCUUGCUGCAUGGUGGGGGUUGGAAAGCUUCGGCGGUUUUGGAUGGACUCGCGGCUUAUCAGCUUGUUGGUGGGGUAGUGGCUUACCAAGGCUUUGACGGGUAGCCGGCCUGAGAGGGCGACCGGCCACAUUGGGACUGAGAUACGGCCCAGACUCCGACGGGAGGCAGCAGUGGGGAAUAUUGCACAAUGGGCGGAAGCCUGAUGCAGCAACGCCGCGGGCGGGAUGACGGCCUUCGGGUUGUAAACCGCUUUCAGCAGGGGCGAAGCUUGUGGUGACGGUACCUGCAGAAGAAGCACCGGCUAACUACGUG
This 465-nucleotide ribosomal RNA is filed under the name uncultured bacterium. RNAcentral describes it as "partial 16S ribosomal RNA". It matches the Rfam family "Bacterial small subunit ribosomal RNA", at positions 28 to 507 of the family's 1533-position model. The record is from RNAcentral.